RNAcentral lists this non-coding RNA (278 nucleotides) under marine eukaryotic metagenome. The record is from RNAcentral.
AAUAGUCUGCACCGAGCCUUUACCAAACGAUUUGCUGCCCAUAAUAACGGCACGUUUGUGAUCCUGUAAUGCACCGGCAACAAUUUCUGAUGCUGAUGCUGAACCACCAUUGAUUAAUACAACGACUGGUAAGCCGUUCAUUAUGUCACCUGGUUUUGCAUUAAAUUCAAAGUCUGAAUUUUCGAUUCGACCUUUGGUGUAAACCAGUUUGCCUUCAUCAAUGAAAGCAUCUGAUACGUCAGCAGCAGCGCUCAAUACACCGCCAGGAUUGUUUCGUA